Molecule: unclassified non-coding RNA, 253 nt
Filed under: uncultured Alphaproteobacteria bacterium
Lineage: Bacteria; Pseudomonadati; Pseudomonadota; Alphaproteobacteria
Description: contains 16S-23S intergenic spacer region
Rfam family: Bacterial small subunit ribosomal RNA
Source: RNAcentral
UACGAAGGGGGCUAGCGUUGUUCGGAAUCACUGGGCGUAAAGGGUGCGUAGGCGGGAUCUUAAGUCAGGGGUGAAAUCCCGAGGCUCAACCUCGGAACUGCCUUUGAUACCGGGGUCCUUGAGUCCGGAAGAGGUGAGUGGAACUGCGAGUGUAGAGGUGAAAUUCGUAGAUAUUCGCAAGAACACCGGUGGCGAGGGCGGCUCACUGGUCCGGAACUGACGCUGAGGCACGACAGCGUGGGGAGCAAACAGG